Gorilla gorilla gorilla (western lowland gorilla) is the source of this 649-nucleotide non-coding RNA. The record is from the annotation of a RefSeq genome assembly. Lineage: Eukaryota; Metazoa; Chordata; Mammalia; Primates; Hominidae.
UCAGGAGGCAGCUCUCUCGGAAUAUCUCCACCAUGGCCUGGGCUCUGCUCCUCCUCACCCUCCUCACUCAGGGCACAGGGUCCUGGGCUCAGUCUGCCCUGACUCAGCCUCCCUCCGUGUCCGGGUCUCCUGGACAGUCAGUCACCAUCUCCUGCACUGGAACCAGCAGUGACAUUGGUGGUUAUAACCGUGCCUCCUGGUACCAGCAGCACCCAGGCAAAGCCCCCAAACUCAUGAUUUAUGAGAUGUUGCUGAUGCUGACUUGUUCAUCUCUUCCAACCUCUGCAAACAAAGUGGGAAAUUGGAUUUUUCUGAACACCCAGAUGACAACGGGAGAGGAGGCUCUGUGGCCUCCCGUAACCUGACUCCAGAGCCAGCAGUGUCUGUGGAGAGUCAGCAAGGGUAACCUGCCAGGGAGAAAACCUAAGAAGCCAUGGUGCAAACUGGUACCAGCAGAACCCUGCCAGAUGCCUGUGCAGGUCAUACAUGGUAACAACAACCAGCCCUCAGGGAUCCCAGACCGAUUCUCUGGCUCCAAGUCAGGAACACAGCCACCCUGACCAUCACUGGGGCUCAGGUUGAACAUGAAGCUGACUAUUACCGUCACUCAUGGGACAACAGUGGUACUCAUCUCACAGGGACACAGAGA